UGUUCACCUAGGCAACAGGGGAGCUGUGCCAGUGAAAGGGGUACUGGAAGAAGAAGAAUGCCUGUUCUUAUCCCAUCUUCACUAAAAGAGAUUUGCUGAAGGAACUAAAAAGAAGAAAGAGCUAGCAUCUACUGCCUGGCCGUUCUUAUGUUUCUGACACCUACCAGUCACUGGCAUUUAGAUAUGUUUCCAGACACUUGGCAAUCUCCUGAGCUUCUAAAUUGGAGUGGUCAUGUUCUCCAUUGCCCUGAUUGUUCGUUGGGAAUCAGUGGAGGAUUUUGCCUGAUAUCCAUUUGCAUUAGGUAAGGGCACAUUUAGAGUGCACUUUUAUUCUCUU
This 337-nucleotide long non-coding RNA is filed under the name Anser brachyrhynchus (Pink-footed goose). Its description in RNAcentral is "lncRNA (ENSABRG00000006949.1)". The record is from RNAcentral. Lineage: Eukaryota; Metazoa; Chordata; Aves; Anseriformes; Anatidae.